CCUACGGGGGGCAGCAGUAGGGAAUCUUCCACAAUGGACGAAAGUCUGAUGGAGCACCGCCGCGUGAGUGAAGAAGGGUUUCGGCUCGUACAGCUCUGUUGGUAGUGAAGAAAGAUAGAGGUAGUAACUGGCCUUUAUUUGACGGUAAUUACUUAGAAAGUCACGGCUAACUACGUGCCCUCAGCCGCGGUAAUACGUAGGUGGCAAGCGUUGUCCGGAUUUAUUGGGCGUAAAGCGAGUUCAGGCGGUUCAAUAAGUCUGAUGUGAAAGCCUUCGGCUCAACCGGAGAAUUGCAUCAGAAACUGUUGAACUGGAGUGCAGAAGAGGAGAGUGGAACUCCAUGUGUAGCGGUGGAAUGCGUAGAUAUAUGGAAGAACACCAGUGGCGAAGGCGGCUCUCUGGUCUGCAACUGACGCUGAGGCUCGAAAGCAUGGGUAGCGAACAGGAUUAGAUACCCGAGUAGUC
Molecule: ribosomal RNA, 465 nt
Filed under: uncultured bacterium
Lineage: Bacteria
Description: partial 16S ribosomal RNA
Rfam family: Bacterial small subunit ribosomal RNA
Source: RNAcentral